AACGAACGCUGGCGGCAUGCCUAACACAUGCAAGUCGAACGAGACCUUCGGGUCUAGUGGCGCACGGGUGCGUAACGCGUGGGAACCUGCCCUUAGGUUCGGAAUAACUCCCCGAAAGGGGUGCUAAUACCGGAUAAUGUCUUCGGACCAAAGAUUUAUCGCCUUUGGAUGGGCCCGCGUUGGUUUAGCUAGUUGGUAGGGUAAAAGCCUACCAAGGCGACGAUCCAUAGCUGGUCUGAGAGGAUGAUCAGCCACACUGGGACUGAGACACGGCCCAGACUCCUACGGGAGGCAGCAGUGGGGAAUAUUGGACAAUGGGCGAAAGCCUGAUCCAGCAAUGCCGCGUGAGUGAUGAAGGCCUUAGGGUUGUAAAGCUCUUUUACCCGGGAUGAUAAUGACAGUACCGGGAGAAUAAGCACCGGCUAACUCCGUG
Molecule: ribosomal RNA, 433 nt
Filed under: uncultured bacterium
Lineage: Bacteria
Description: partial 16S ribosomal RNA
Rfam family: Bacterial small subunit ribosomal RNA
Source: RNAcentral